This 505-nucleotide ribosomal RNA is filed under the name uncultured bacterium. Its description in RNAcentral is "partial 16S ribosomal RNA". It matches the Rfam family "Bacterial small subunit ribosomal RNA", at positions 29 to 523 of the family's 1533-position model. The record is from RNAcentral.
AGUGAACGCUGGCGGUAGGCCUAACACAUGCAAGUCGAACGGCAGCACAGGAGAGCUUGCUCUCUGGGUGGCGAGUGGCGGACGGGUGAGGAAUACAUCGGAAUCUACUCUGUCGUGGGGGAUAACGUAGGGAAACUUACGCUAAUACCGCAUACGACCUACGGGUGAAAGCAGGGGACCUUCGGGCCUUGCGCGAUUGAAUGAGCCGAUGUCGGAUUAGCUAGUUGGCGGGGUAAAGGCCCACCAAGGCGACGAUCCGUAGCUGGUCUGAGAGGAUGAUCAGCCACACCGGAACUGAGACACGGUCCAGACUCCUACGGGAGGCAGCAGUGGGGAAUAUUGGACAAUGGGCGCAAGCCUGAUCCAGCCAUAACGCGUGGGUGAAGAAGGCCUUCGGGUUGUAAAGCCCUUUUGUUGGAAAGAAAUCCAGCUGGCUAAUACCCGGUUGGGAUGACGGUACCCAAAGAAUAAGCACCGGCUAACUUCGUGCCAGCCGCCGCCGUAA